Columba livia (rock pigeon) is the source of this 4748-nucleotide long non-coding RNA. RefSeq lists it as uncharacterized. The record is from RefSeq and is a predicted model, not a curated record. The transcript is spliced from 3 exons. Lineage: Eukaryota; Metazoa; Chordata; Aves; Columbiformes; Columbidae.
CCUGACUGUGAUAUAAUUAAAUACAUAAAAAUCAAAUCUAAAUGUUUGUAUAGAAUAAAAACAAUACAGUGCCUGAAGCUGCCUUUGGAAAACUACUAAAGAACUUCUCCAUGUUCCAGACAAACUAAAUCAAGCUACUCCCAGCAAUAAAAUUGCCUAGAGAUUUUUAUAUUUUACUCUGAGCCUAAUUCCAGGUACAAGCCUUAAGUCUACCUGCAAAAUAGCUAAAAGCAAUAGUAUUUUGUCCUUACAUAUUUCUGAGGCUUUUGAAGGCCUUAUGAAGGUUCAUUUAAUAAUACUAGGACAUUUUUGCAAAGGAUAAAUGAUAGAAAUAAAAACUGCAUUCCCUUCUAGCUAGGUCAUCUUCCAUAUCUCCCAGUUCAUGCUUAGCCUCUCUAUACUUCAUCUCUAUGGUGGUGGGACAAGUGGCAACAUCUCUAUAUACUUUUUGCCUAGUGCCCUUUUGCUGAGUGGUCUGGUGACUGGAGACAGAGUUUGCAGGUUGUGCAGGAGAAGGAAGGGAAGGGAUGAGUCACCUUCCCCUGCUUUUAAGGAUAUCAGGAAAAGCAAAAUAAUAUUGUUAGGAGCUAUAACUCUUCUUCAGUGUGCCAAAGGAUUAUUCUGUUUUUCAAGGGGCAAAGAAAAAACCUAACAAACAAACCUGAAGAAAUGUAAGCAGAUUCAUAAAGCUGUGUGGUGGCAGUGAUCUUCCAUUCCUCCUUCAGGGUCUACAAAAAGCUGGAACCAAUUACUCCUAUAGAAAGGCAAGGAACAUACCAGCCUCAGCUGAAACACUCAAAGAAAACAGGCAUGUUUCCUUCUCAUGAGAACACAGCCCACUCUCCCUAAUGAGAUAAUUAUUCUCUCAGUGUCCAUUUGUGGAACUGUUGCAUUUGACUUUCUUUCAAGGGGGAGGGAUGAUUUAAAGAGCUUAGCUAGACCACAUAACCUUUUGCAUGAAAUUCUGUAGUUACUCAAGAAGAAAAUAAUGACAUUCAGGUCAUGAUAGCUGUCUCUUAUAUAAUGUUGAUAAUGCACAACUUUUGUAGUAUAAACAAGAGGAGAAGAGCAGCCUGGUCCCGUAGGUAUUGCAGUCAAGAAUUUAGCUCUGAAACUGUGGAAAAUGGAAGUAUUACCAAAGCAUUGCAUCAGGUUGCAAUAUAUUUAUUUAAUGAAAAAAGAUUGCAAAUAGCCUUGCUUCUCUGUCUCUCUUACGGAGUGCAACUGAAAUGGAGUAUGCACGCAGCUGUGAUCGGACCCAGAGCAGAAUACAGAGAACCAGGUUACUAUGUGAAGGGAAAACAAUAAAAAUGGAGGAAAAGCCACACACACCAUGAAAAUGAAGAAUAGCUGGGAACAUGAAGACAUACAAAAUCUUUAGAGUGGCUGCUAGAAUGCCCCCAUCUUCCCAAGGCAAUUAAAGCCUGACUCUGCCAUUACUCAUUGUACUUGUGACCAUUUCCAACACAGUACUUUAAUUGGGGUUCUUCAUGGAAUAACAAACAAUGUGUUUUCUCUUCAAUUUAGUUAGAUUCUCCCUUUUAAAAGAAUGUUUAAGCCAAACAAUAAGAAUUCUAGGGCUGAGAAGUAUGAAGUCACCUUACACUAAAGAAAACUAUAUAUAGUUUAUUUUUGUUCUGAUCAUUAAAAACAGGACAAAGAAUGACAAAACUAGGUUUUGGAACUGUGUGAGACCUGAUGGCUGGAACUGAAAUCUUAUUGUACCCAAUCAGUCAUACUCAGGUCUAGAGAAAAGAAGAUCAGUUCUUUUUUUCUGUAGUCUUACUGUAGAUUUUCAACACUGAGUAAAUUCAGGUUUUUUGUGCCUACAGAGAACAGACCAGCCUUAGCAACAGGUUUGUUUGGCACUUACUAAUCACCUUUGGUUUGCUGAACAGAAGUGUCUAAAUGGUUUCUUAAACUGGACAAGACUGUAGGGAACAAAUAAAUAUUAAGGAAUUCUCCCCCAACCCCCCAUGUAGCCUUGCAAGUGCUGUAAUUUAGUGUUAAGAGGUGCUCAUUAUUUCAGUAAUUCUGAAGCACCUGUCACUAACAAAUUACUUAUGUGCAGAACAUUAAUUCUAUAACUAGAAAAUCGAAACUAAUGGACCAAGUCUAACUCCUCAUCACAGAGACCCUUCAUGCUCUGUAGGUGACUGGAGCUAUUGGAAAUGAGUAAAAGAUUCCUAAUGAAGUGUGACAGAGUGUGAAAAACGUUAUUCUCUUAAACAGAGAAACUCCUCUGGCUACUUUUAGACCAAGAAAAAUUUCAGGUCUUGGCAAUAAUUUUCAGGCUGCUGGAAAGGGUGAUUUUGCCUCUUGUAGAUGUUAGGCUUCUCAUGGCUUCACUUUUGUUGUUGUUAUGUUUUGACAGGUAGAGAGGAGUCAGGACAAAGGAAUAUCAAGGUUUUGCUGCCUUGAAGGAAUUAUAUUUUAUGUUAUUAUUUCAUGUGAACUCUACUUAGAAUUUGGAAAAAAUAUAAGUAUCUACUGCAGGCAGGUUAAUAGCUAUUGGAGGAAAAUUUUCUCAGAAAGGAAGAAAAUGGUUCUUGGUUACGUAGCAGAUCCAACUUGUGAUUGCCUUCCAAAAGCAAUCAUCACUUCUUCAUAAUAAUAGAAUCAUGUAUCAUGUAUGUUUUAAGGGACUUUUGGGGGUCAGCUACUCCAGCCUCCUUUUCAAAGUAGAUCAAAUUAUACUGAGUUGCUCGGUGUCCUGUUGAGUUUUGAAUAUCACCAAGGACAAAGAUUUGUUUCAAUGUUGGACCACCCCAAGGUGAAAUAGGUUUUCCUGUCUCUAAUCAGAAUUCCCCAUGUUUCAGUUUGUAUCCAUUAUGUCUCCUUCUAUAAUCGUGCACCUUUGAAAAGUGUUUGCUUCCACCAUCUCUAUAUGACCUCCCAGUAGCUGGCUGGAGACAGCAGUAAUAACCCCCUAAGUGCUCUCUUAUUUGGGCUGAACCAGCCCAGUUCUCUCAACCUCUCCCUUUCCAUCAUGUGUCUUGUCCCUCUAACCAUCCUGGUGGCUCUCUGCUGGAUGCACUCCAGAAUGUCAUUGUCUUUCAUGUACCAGGGAUUUCAAAGCUCUGCACAGCACCCCAGAAGGAGUUUCAGAAGAGCUGAGCAGAGGCUAAGGGGAACAUUUUGUUUGGCUUGCUGGCCACACUCUUGCUAAUGCAGCCCAGGAUGCCAUUGAAUGCCUUUGCCACAGGUGCAUUCCUGGCUCAUAUUCAACUUGUUGUCCAUCAGGAACCCCAGGUUCUCUCUGUAAAGCUUUGUUGUAGUUGGUCAUUGCCCAGCAUGUACUGGUGGCUGGGUUUAUUGUUCGGGUGCUGACCAUUUAACAUUGUGGAUGUUCCUGGUAGACAAUUUCUACAGUCUGUUGAGGUUUCUCUGAAUAGCAGUUCUGCCCUCCAGCAUAUCAACCACUCCCCCCAAUGUGGUAAUGUUUGUGAACUUCCUGAGCAUACACUUCUAUCCUAUUGUUCAAGUUGUUAAUAAAGACAUUAAACAGCAUUAGCUCUAGUUCAGUCUCUCGGAUGUGCAGCAGGUAACCAGCUGCCAGUUGGACUUUGCACAGUUGACCACAACCAGCUGAACCUAAUGAGCAAGCCAAUAUUGAGAUUGAGAGUCCAUAACAUCUCAGCUUAGUUGAACAGCACUUGAUGAGCAUUUAAUGGUUUAAGUAUUUGAAAUUAUACAUUCUGUGCAGUUUCAAAUAUAGGUCUUGUUGACUCUUCACUGGGAAAAGAAAAAAAAGUUUUUGAAAAAGGUACUUUUAAAUGUUAAAGUGUUUCAGACAUGAUAAAUCUGUGAACAGAGUUCUACAGAGAGAUGUGUCAGGUUAAACAGAUGCAACUGAACUUUAUCACUGAAUAAAAAUCUUCUUCAGACUUUAGCAGAGAAGGAUUUUAUAGCUCUGUGCUGAGUAUGGGUCUUGUUCCUCCAUACAGUGAGUCAGAUCAAGAGCUGGCUCACAUUUUCCUUCACAGCAAGUAGGUGAAUGCAGUUUUGAGAAAGCUGGCAGAAAGGGUUUGGAGUGCUAAAAGGAAGCAUAAGGAAAAGGCUGACAAAUGUCAGUGAUGCUCUGGAGUUUGGGAAAAUUGGUCAGGCCAUGGGACUUAGGAAGUUUCGUGGUGUUAAUAUGUUGGGGGAUGGACAGAGGAGAAGCUUUAGGUGAGGUUAAGUGGGAUGUCAGAACAUUGUAGACGCUUCAGAAGGCCUGUCCAGAAACAGGGGGAGGAAACCCUCUCUCUUUCCUCCACCCUAUUUUCAGCUGUUCCCUCAUUCUUGUGACCCUUCCUUCUUUCUCUAGAUCCCUGAUACACAAGAUCCAUCAUCAUUCACCAAAACAGCAGGGGAAACAGGGGACUGUGCAAGCAGGAGUACAGUCCCUAGAACUUAUGUUCUGUGAAGUAACAGCAAUCCUGUUUGUAUACAGACCUGGGAAGAAAUAUUUAAUUCCAAGAUUAGUCUGCUGUCUUGCCGUUGUUCACUCAUGCACGUGAGAACACAGAAGAUCCCGGAGACUGGUGGUUGACUAACUGGAGGAAUCAGAGGAUAGAACAAGCUUUGAGAGGACCAGAUCAGUAUUUGAAAACAAUAGAUUCACAGGUCAAAAAUGCAGAGCAUUUGGACAGAUGUGACUGGAAUGCUGUCAGCUGCUGCUAUUCCACAUCAAGGCCUUCAAUAUUUGUUGUUUAUUCAUCAAGCAAAAGCCCUUCAAGACAAGUGAUUAGAGGCAAAUAUUAGUU